ACACAUGCACACACGGCCAUAAACCUGGAGUAACACACCCCCUUUCAGUGAUAUCACCAGAGCUGUUGCAGCACACUGAAAUGACAUUUUCUGCACACCCUUCUUAGACACUGUUUGAGCAGUCUAACUCAGGACCAAGACGUCCCAUUUGCAGAUAGGCAGAGGACAGGAACAAGACAGGACACGCACCCUCGACACCACACCGCAGACAUGUCAGACUCAGAGACCGCCGCCGCCCCCGCCGAGGCCCCUGUCCCUGCUGCUUGUGCUGCCAUCAAGGCUGACCUGGACAAAUGUGUGGCCGAGAAGGGAGCCGAGGGCUGCAAAGAUCUGAUCGAGGCCUUUGCUGCUUGUGUGAAGAGUGCAGCUGACGGGACGUCAUGAGGAGUCGCCCUCCACCCUCCAAAUGUCCACUGCACUGAGUCCUCCAAGUUCCCAGCAUUCCCUUCUACACAACAGCACUGGAAUGAACGAUGAUGAGGAGGAGGAUGAAGAUGAUGAUCAUGGCGUGAUAAACUUCUCGCUGAAUUUGGGAUAUGGUAGCAGUAAACCACAACCCCCCCCCCAAAAUCUGGUGUCCCCGAAUGUCUUUCGCCAUUCCCCUUUUCCCUCUACGGCUGACAUGCAGAACAUCCACUAGUAGACAAUUCCAGAGAGCGGAGCUGUAAUGUAAAUGGUCGACAUAAAUACUUAUAUAAAUGGAAAUAAAAGUAUAAAAACAAA
This is a long non-coding RNA of Etheostoma cragini (Arkansas darter), 723 nucleotides long. RefSeq lists it as uncharacterized. The transcript is spliced from 4 exons. NCBI's taxonomy places the organism in Eukaryota, Metazoa, Chordata, Actinopteri, Perciformes, Percidae. The record is from RefSeq and is a predicted model, not a curated record.